Molecule: ribosomal RNA, 430 nt
Filed under: Gemmatimonadota bacterium
Lineage: Bacteria; Pseudomonadati; Gemmatimonadota
Description: Gemmatimonadetes bacterium partial 16S ribosomal RNA
Rfam family: Bacterial small subunit ribosomal RNA
Source: RNAcentral
UAGGGAAUCUUCGGCAAUGGACGAAAGUCUGACCGAGCAACGCCGCGUGAGUGAAGAAGGUUUUCGGAUCGUAAAACUCUGUUGUUAGAGAAGAACAAGGACGUUAGUAAACUGAACGUCCCCUGACGGUAUCUAACCAGAAAGCCACGGCUAACUACGUGCCAGCAGCCGCGGUAAUACGUAGGUGGCAAGCGUUGUCCGGAUUUAUUGGGCGUAAAGCGAGCGCAGGCGGUUUCUUAAGUCUGAUGUGAAAGCCCCCGGCUCAACCGGGGAGGGUCAUUGGAAACUGGGAGACUUGAGUGCAGAAGAGGAGAGUGGAAUUCCAUGUGUAGCGGUGAAAUGCGUAGAUAUAUGGAGGAACACCAGUGGCGAAGGCGGCUCGCUGGUCUGUAACUGACGCUGAGGCUCGAAAGCGUGGGGAGCAAACAGG